GAUGAACGCUGGCGGCGUGCCUAAUACAUGCAAGUCGAGCGAACAGACGAGGAGCUUGCUCCUCUGACGUUAGCGGCGGACGGGUGAGUAACACGUGGAUAACCUACCUAUAAGACUUGGAUAACUUCGGGAAACCGGAGCUAAUACCGGAUAAUAUAUUGAACCGCAUGGUUCAAUAGUUAAAGACGGUUUUGCUGUCACUUAUAGAUGGAUCCGCGCCGCAUUAGCUAGUUGGUAAGGUAACGGCUUACCAAGGCAACGAUGCGUAGCCGACCUGAGAGGGGGAUCGGCCACACAGGAAGUGAGACACGGUCCAGACACCUACGGGAGGCAGCAGUAGGGAAUCUUCCGCAAUGGGCGAAAGCAUGACGGAGCAACGCCGCGUGAGUGAUGAAGGUCUUCGGAUCGUAAAACUCUGUUAUUAGGGAAGAACAAAUGUGUAAGUAACUAUGCACGUCUUGACGGUACCUAAUCAGAAAGCCACGGCUAACUACGUG
Molecule: ribosomal RNA, 497 nt
Filed under: uncultured bacterium
Lineage: Bacteria
Description: partial 16S ribosomal RNA
Rfam family: Bacterial small subunit ribosomal RNA
Source: RNAcentral